This 246-nucleotide ribosomal RNA is filed under the name uncultured Lactobacillus sp. Its description in RNAcentral is "partial 16S ribosomal RNA". It matches the Rfam family "Bacterial small subunit ribosomal RNA", at positions 116 to 355 of the family's 1533-position model. The record is from RNAcentral. Lineage: Bacteria; Bacillati; Bacillota; Bacilli; Lactobacillales; Lactobacillaceae.
CGUGGGUAACCUGCCCAAGAGAUCGGGAUAACACCUGGAAACAGAUGCUAAUACCGGAUAACAAUAGAUGAUGCCUAUCAACUGUUUAAAAGAUGGUUCUGCUAUCACUCUUGGAUGGACCUGCGGUGCAUUAGCUAGUUGGUAGGGUAACGGCCUACCAAGGCGAUGACGCAUAGCCGAGUUGAGAGACUGAUCGGCCACAUUGGGACUGAGACACGGCCCAAACUCCUACGGGAGGCAGCAGUA